RNAcentral lists this small nuclear RNA (297 nucleotides) under Sorex araneus (European shrew). RNAcentral's name for it is "7SK RNA (ENSSARG00000017573.1)". It matches the Rfam family "7SK RNA". From Rfam's summary of the family: 7SK was discovered as an abundant small nuclear RNA in the mid-70s but a possible function has only recently been suggested. Two independent studies have found that 7SK RNA binds the CDK9/cyclin T complex (known as elongation factor P-TEFb). The record is from RNAcentral. Lineage: Eukaryota; Metazoa; Chordata; Mammalia; Eulipotyphla; Soricidae.
GGAUGUGAGGGCAAUCUGGCUGUGACAUCUGUCACCCCAUUGAUCGCCAAGGUUGAUUCAGCUGACCUGGCUGGCUAGGCGGGUGUCCCCUCCCCCCCUCACCACUCCAUUGUGCGUCCCUCCCAAAGCUGAAAAGGACAGCCUUUCCCGAAUAGAGACAGACUGGUCUUCGGUAGAGGGUAUACAAGUAGCUGCGCUCCCCUACUAGAACCUCCAAACAAGCUCUCAAAUGUAUGAGUUAAGCCUAUAAAACUUGAGGCUGGGGAGACAAUAGCGCAAGUAGCUAAGCUAUAUACC